GCACAAGCGGUGAGUAUGUGGUUUAAUUCGAUGCAACGCGAAGAACCUUACCUGGUCUUGACAUCCCGGAGACCCUUAGGAACUAGGGGUGCUUCCAUCUGGAAGAAUCUGGAGACAGGUGCUGCAUGGCUGUCGUCAGCUCGUGUCGUGAGAUGUUGGGUUAAGUCCCGCAACGAGCGCAACCCUUGCCUUUAGUUGCCAGCAGUUCGGCUGGGCACUCUAAAGGGACUGCCGGUGUUAAACCGGAGGAAGGUGGGGAUGACGUCAAGUCCUCAUGGCCUUUAUGACCAGGGCUACACACGUACUACAAUGGCCGAUACAAAGGGCAGCGACACUGCGAGGUGAAGCCAAUCCCGUAAAAUCGGUCUCAGUCCGGAUUGGAGUCUGCAACUCGACUCCAUGAAGUUGGAAUCGCUAGUAAUCGUGGAUCAGCAUGCCACGGUGAAUACGUUCCCGGGCCUU
RNAcentral lists this ribosomal RNA (462 nucleotides) under uncultured Desulfobulbus sp. Its description in RNAcentral is "bacterial SSU rRNA". It matches the Rfam family "Bacterial small subunit ribosomal RNA", at positions 923 to 1382 of the family's 1533-position model. Lineage: Bacteria; Pseudomonadati; Thermodesulfobacteriota; Desulfobulbia; Desulfobulbales; Desulfobulbaceae. The record is from RNAcentral.